AUUGUGCCCCAUGUCAUCAGCCUUGGCUCCGGUCUCCCUGCCCAGUGCCGCGCUGGACUGGGCCUUGGCCUGGACCAGGUGGUCGUUUCUGCUCUACUUCCCCAAGUAAGGCCCCUCCUUCUGGUUCUCCGGGUUCCAGAGAGGGACAGGAAGUGUCAGCACCCGCCUCCUCCAGCAAGAAAGUGCCAUCAGAGGAGGGGCCUGGAAAGUCAGAGGAACCAGGGACUAAUGACUACAUGAGCAGAGGUUUCUGUACAAUUCAGCAGUGGAGAGAAAAGGGCCAACAACAGACACUUGCUGUAGGCUGUAGAGUAAACCAUCUUUAUUUCUUUUGGUUAAAAACAAUGGAUUUGAAUCUGGCAUUUCUGCGUACGUCUCAUUCCAUAUGUACAGUACAUUGAUGAUGUACACCUAGCAGUAAAAACAAAUAUCUGAAAGGAAAACACACUGAAAAAGUGGCUUCAACAAAGGUGGCUGUGCAGGGCAGGCCAUGCACCGAGCACAGGAGGCUCAGUAGAAGCAGACAGUAUGCAGAAAGGCCCGGCCACUCUUCUCCUCGAACUCCUGCAGCAGCUCGUCGAUUUCAUUCUCCAUGUCCUCAGUGUGCUGGAUCUGGGAAAAGCACGGCCUUGAGUGAACCCGGGCAUUGUGACGCGCCUUCCCUGACCCUGCCCUCCACUGAUCUUCACUUCUGCAGGGACCCAGGCUUCAGGAUAGCUCCCUCACAGCCUGUUCCUACCAGACAUAUACAACAUAUCAUAGGAGUACCCCAUAUUGGGAGUGGGACGGCUAGAUUCAAAGGGAGGCCUGGACCCCAAGGCUGGAACUCAGGUUCUGUUCUCAGGCGUCGUAGGUACAUGAAAGCCUCAUCAACCAGUGCUAUCCCAAAUCUGCAAUGAGUGAAGUGAGGCACACAGAUACCGGCAUGCAUUUUCCUACAGUCGUCCAGUGUGAAUGCUGACUAUGCUUUGUGCACUGCAGCAUCAACUUCACAUCUGGCCUCCACCCUCCAGACACCUAUUGGUUCUUCUCCUGGUUGUGAAAACUUAAAAGGUGACCAGGCAUUGCCAGUAGUAGUCCCUUGAAUACUUGAAGUGAAGAAGGCUGGAUGUUGAACACACUGUUCUGGCAUGGCUACACAGUCUCCUUGGUCUCAGCCCUUUCUCCAGAUCAUCAGCUAGACCACAAGGUCAACUGCUAGAGCUUCAAUAACACUAAGAGUGAAAGCAGUGUGGAGUUUAGCAGGAGUUUGGAUCCCCCACGCGAACUUCCCCAUCAGCCUUCACUUGGUAAGCCAAAAGGAAAUCAAUUCUGCCACAGUCAGCUAAUCACAGUUCUUAAGGGCAAAAGUCAGGGAAAGGGGCUGGAGAGAUGGCUCAGCGGUUAUGACUGACUGCUCUUCAGGAGGUCCUGAGUUCAAUUCCCAGCAACCACAUGGUGGUUUACAACCAUCUGUAAUGAGAUCUGACGCCCUCUUCUGAUGUGUCUGAAAACAGCUGUACUUACAUAUAAUAAAUAAAUCUUUUUUUUUUAAAA
Long non-coding RNA from Mus musculus (house mouse), 1536 nucleotides. RefSeq annotates it as RIKEN cDNA 1500002C15 gene. The transcript is spliced from 2 exons. The record is from RefSeq and is marked validated. Lineage: Eukaryota; Metazoa; Chordata; Mammalia; Rodentia; Muridae.